RNAcentral lists this ribosomal RNA (505 nucleotides) under uncultured bacterium. Its description in RNAcentral is "bacterial SSU rRNA". It matches the Rfam family "Bacterial small subunit ribosomal RNA", at positions 30 to 523 of the family's 1533-position model. The record is from RNAcentral.
AUUGAACGCUGGCGGCACGCUUAACACAUGCAAGUCGAACGGCAGCACGAAGGGGUAACUCUUUGGUGGCGAGUGGCGAACGGGUGAGUAAUAUAUCGGAACGUACCCAGAAGUGGGGGAUAACGUAGCGAAAGUUACGCUAAUACCGCAUACGAUCUACGGAUGAAAGUGGGGGACCUUCGGGCCUCAUGCUUUUGGAGCGGCCGAUAUCUGAUUAGCUAGUUGGUGAGGUAAAGGCUCACCAAGGCGACGAUCAGUAGCUGGUCUGAGAGGACGACCAGCCACACUGGAACUGAGACACGGUCCAGGCUCCUACGGGAGGCAGCAGUGGGGAAUUUUGGACAAUGGGGGGCAACCCUGAUCCAGCAAUGCCGCGUGAGUGAAGAAGGCCUGGUUGUAAGACUCUUUGUCAGGGAAGAAACGGGGGUAGGGCUAAGUAUCUGCUCCUAAUGACGGUACCUGAAGAAUAAGCACCGGCGUAACUACGUGCCAGCAGCCGCGGUAA